Molecule: long non-coding RNA, 1695 nt
Organism: Lycium barbarum (goji berry)
Lineage: Eukaryota; Viridiplantae; Streptophyta; Magnoliopsida; Solanales; Solanaceae
Exons: 5
Source: RefSeq, a predicted model, not a curated record
CUUAACUCCUCUUACAUGUAUUACAGGAAUGAGAUGAGAUGAGAUCUCUAGAUAUCCACGAGAAUUAAUUCGAUACCUAAUCAGUUGCCCCAAAUACAAAGCAUGUUGAGGAAUUUUUCCUUUUAGCCUCUUUUAUUCCCAGUUCAUUUGAAUAUCAUAUCUGACAGAAUUUCUUUCUCGCUUUUGAAGAUUUAAGAUGUUAAAUAUUAAAUUCUUUGCUUUUGGUCUUAUUUUUUCCUUCUCGUUGUUAUUUUGUGCACGUAUUUUGAUUCUGUUUGGAUGAAAAAGGGCCUUACAAGUUACAAUAGCUCUAUAUGAAGCAAAUUUGCGUUUGAAUUCUGCAUUUCCUUACCUAUGGUGCAUGGUUAAAUUUUGUUCUACUAGGAAGAAAAUUGCUAGUUUUGUUUUGAUCUUUUACGUCAACUAUACCAGAAUAUAUAAAAUUGGGAUUCUAAUUAAAGUGUGCUAUAUACUAGUGUGGGCGAAAGUUUGAAGCUUACUACUGCGUGUGCUUUUUAGGUGUUCGAUAAAAUACCUGAAGUUUGUCAAAUGUCAACACAGGCUUAACAUUGGGAAUUUUCCCAUGUUCUUGAGAGCCGAGGGUCUAUCAGAAACAGAAACAGCCUAUCUGCCCCACAAAGGUAGGGUAAGGUGUGCGUACAUCUUACCCUCUCCAGACCCCACUUGUGGGAUUACACUGGAUAUCCUAUCUACUGCAGCUGCUGCAACUAUUCACAAACUCAGAACAGAUGUCUUUCAGGGAUAGACAUUCUUGUUGAAUGGUGCAUGCUCUUAUCCUGGUGGUGAUGAUGGAGUAUAUCAGAAACUAUCAUGAGUAAAAAGGAGUGUGGUUUAUUUUGAUUGCACGUGAGAGAGAAUCCUAACACAUUAUCGAGCUGUUUACAUUAUAUUGAACAGUGCUGCGGGAGCCUUGGAGCAACGGUAAACGGGUUUGAACCGUGGAAUCUGGUGCUUGUUCAAGAUAAGCUGCCUACAUUACACCCCCAUGGGUUGGCCCUUCCCCGUACACUGCGUGAACGCGGGAUGCUUUGUGAAUUGUGAUCCUAGAGGUAGCUUCGAUCGUUAUGUUGGAUUUUAUUAAUGGCUAUUUUAAGUAAGUUGAAAACAUGCCCACUAAUCUAUGUUAUCGAUGUUUAAUUAGUUUUCGUCUUGAUAUAAAAUAAGUGGAAAUUCCUAACCUCCGAACAGGGCAGUAUGUACAUCAGUUUUCAGUUGAACUUUCAAGAAAAAGAUCAAGUGAUUCUGAUAUCUUAGGGAAUUUUAUGCACUUUGGAGGAAUAUAUUACAAGCUUUAGGUAAAGUGGUAUAGGCAUAAAGCAGAAUUCCCUUGUACAGUUUUGCUGGCAUGUGGAUAGGAAUGAAGUAAGGAUGUGCAUGUUAAGCUAUGAUGAUAAAUUCUUUCUUUUAGAUCUAAUCGACUUGAUUUUAUUGAGUUGCAUUGAACUAUAAUAUUGUAAAACUCUAGUAUAAGAACGUAUAUAGCCCUGACAUGCUAGAAAUAUAUAAUGUUAUUCAUCUGACCAAACUGUCUUGUUAAAUUGUCAGUCUUUUUUGUCAUUUUCAGUUUGCCUUUUUCUUUUAUCCGGAUUCAGGAUUUUCUGAUUGUUGAUAUCCAAGAUUUAAUAGUUGCUUAAUGUUGCUAUGUCAAACCAUAAUAAUAUUCCAUAGUUUCAU